UGGUGCAGUAGGUAGCGCAUCAGUCUCCCAAGCUGAAGGUCCUGAGUUUGAUCCUCAG
Molecule: transfer RNA, 58 nt
Filed under: Monodelphis domestica (gray short-tailed opossum)
Lineage: Eukaryota; Metazoa; Chordata; Mammalia; Didelphimorphia; Didelphidae
Rfam family: tRNA
About the family: Transfer RNA (tRNA) molecules are approximately 80 nucleotides in length. Their secondary structure includes four short double-helical elements and three loops (D, anti-codon, and T loops).
Source: Rfam by way of RNAcentral